RNAcentral lists this transfer RNA (73 nucleotides) under archaeon. Its description in RNAcentral is "tRNA-Lys". It matches the Rfam family "tRNA". Rfam says of the family: Transfer RNA (tRNA) molecules are approximately 80 nucleotides in length. Their secondary structure includes four short double-helical elements and three loops (D, anti-codon, and T loops). The record is from RNAcentral.
GGGCUCGUAGCUCAGUCGGUAGAGCGUCAGGCUCUUAACCUGAUGGUCAGGGGUUCGACCCCCCUCGGGCCCG